AACGAACGCUGGCGGCAUGCCUAACACAUGCAAGUCGAACGAGAUCUUCGGGUCUAGUGGCGCACGGGUGCGUAACGCGUGGGAAUCUGCCCUUUGGUUCGGAAUAACAGUUGGAAGCGACUGCUAAUACCGGAUGAUGACGAAAGUCCAAAGAUUUAUCGCCCGAGGAUGAGCCCGCGUAGGAUAAGCUAGUUGGUGUGGUAAAGGCGCACCAAGGCGACGAUCCUUAGCUGGUCUGAGAGGAUGAUCAGCCACACUGGGACUGAGACACGGACCAGACUCCUACGGGAGGCAGCCGUGGGGAAGAUUGGACAAUGGGCGAAAGCCUGAACCAGCAAUGCCGCGUGAGUGAUGAAGGCCUUAGGGUUGUAAAGCUCUUUUACCCGGGAUGAUAAUGACAGGACCGGGAGAAUAAGCUCCGGCUAACUCCGUGCCAGCCGCCGCGGUAA
Molecule: ribosomal RNA, 449 nt
Filed under: uncultured bacterium
Lineage: Bacteria
Description: partial 16S ribosomal RNA
Rfam family: Bacterial small subunit ribosomal RNA
Source: RNAcentral